RNAcentral lists this ribosomal RNA (420 nucleotides) under uncultured Nitrososphaerota archaeon. Its description in RNAcentral is "bacterial SSU rRNA". It matches the Rfam family "Archaeal small subunit ribosomal RNA", at positions 459 to 879 of the family's 1478-position model. The record is from RNAcentral. Lineage: Archaea; Thermoproteati; Nitrososphaerota.
CAGCCGCCGCGGUAACACCAGCCCCUCGAGUGGUGGGGAUGAUUAUUUGGCCUAAAGCGACCGUAGCCGGCCGAGCAAGUCUUCCGUUAAAUCCAGCGUCUCAAGCGCUGGACCGCGGGAGAUACUACACGGCUAGAGAGUGGGAGAGGUCAGCGGUAUUCUGGGGGUAGGGGCGAAAUCCUUUGAUCCCCGGAGGACCACCAGUGGCGAAGGCUGCUGACUAGAACACGUCUGACGGUCAGGGACGAAAGCUGGGGUAGCGAACCGGAUUAGAUACCCGGGUAGUCCCAGCCGUAAACGAUGCAUGCUAGGUGUUGGGUUGGCCACGAGCCACCCCAGUGCCGCAGGGAAGCCGUUAAGCAUGCCGCCUGGGAAGUACGAUCGCAAGGUUGAAACUUAAAGGAAUUGGCGGGGGAGCAC